RNAcentral lists this non-coding RNA (172 nucleotides) under Simian adenovirus 18. Lineage: Varidnaviria; Bamfordvirae; Preplasmiviricota; Pharingeaviricetes; Rowavirales; Adenoviridae. The record is from RNAcentral.
GGCUCCGCUCCGUGGCCUGGGGGACAGACCGCCAGGGUGCGACGGCGGGGAACCCCGGUUCGAGACCGGCUGGAUCCGUCCGUCCCCGACGCGCCGGCCCCGCGUCCACGACCCCACCAGAGGCCGAGACCCAGCCGCGGUGCCCGGACCCCAGAUACGGAGGGGAGCCUUU